GGCGGACGGGUGAGUAACGCGUAAGAACCUGCCCUUGGGAGGGGAACAGCAGCUGGAAACGGCUGCUAAUACCCCAUAGGCUGAGGAGCAAAAGGAGGAAUCCGCCCAAGGAGGGGCUCGCGUCUGAUUAGUUAGUUGGUGAGGCAAUGGCUUACCAAGGCGACGAUCAGUAGCUGGUCCGAGAGGAUGAUCAGCCACACUGGGACUGAGACACGGCCCAG
This 221-nucleotide ribosomal RNA is filed under the name uncultured bacterium. RNAcentral's name for it is "partial 16S ribosomal RNA". It matches the Rfam family "Bacterial small subunit ribosomal RNA", at positions 97 to 334 of the family's 1533-position model. The record is from RNAcentral.